This 482-nucleotide ribosomal RNA is filed under the name uncultured bacterium. Its description in RNAcentral is "bacterial SSU rRNA". It matches the Rfam family "Bacterial small subunit ribosomal RNA", at positions 30 to 506 of the family's 1533-position model. The record is from RNAcentral.
UUGAACGCUGGCGGCAUGCCUUACACAUGCAAGUCGAACGGUAACAGGGAGCUUGCUCCGCUGACGAGUGGCGAACGGGUGAGUAAUGUAUCGGAACGUACCAUUCAGUGGGGGAUAACGUAGCGAAAGUUACGCUAAUACCGCAUAUUCUGUGAGCAGGAAAGCAGGGGAUCGCAAGACCUUGCGCUGAUUGAGCGGCCGAUAUCAGAUUAGCUAGUUGGUGGGGUAAAGGCCUACCAAGGCGACGAUCCGUAGCGGGUCUGAGAGGAUGAUCCGCCACACUGGGACUGAGACACGGCCCAGACUCCUACGGGAGGCAGCAGUGGGGAAUUUUGGACAAUGGGCGCAAGCCUGAUCCAGCCAUGCCGCGUGAGUGGAGAAGGCCUUCGGGUUGUAAAGCUCUUUCAGACGGAAAGAAAUCGGGCGCGUGAAUAGCGUGCCUGGAUGACGGUACUGUCAGAAGAAGCACCGGCUAACUACGU